RNAcentral lists this ribosomal RNA (547 nucleotides) under fungal sp. Its description in RNAcentral is "eukaryotic LSU rRNA". The stretch from base 199 to 352 matches the Rfam family "5.8S ribosomal RNA". The record is from RNAcentral. Lineage: Eukaryota; Fungi.
UUCCGUUGGGGGGUACCUGCGGAGGGAUCAUUACACAAAUAUGAAGGCGGGCUGGAACCUCUCGGGGUUACAGCCUUGCUGAAUUAUUCACCCUUGUCUUUUGCGUACUUCUUGUUUCCUUGGUGGGUUCGCCCACCACUAGGACAAACAUAAACCUUUUGUAAUUGCAAUCAGCGUCAGUAACAAAUUAAUAAUUACAACUUUCAACAACGGAUCUCUUGGUUCUGGCAUCGAUGAAGAACGCAGCGAAAUGCGAUAAGUAGUGUGAAUUGCAGAAUUCAGUGAAUCAUCGAAUCUUUGAACGCACAUUGCGCCCUUUGGUAUUCCAAAGGGCAUGCCUGUUCGAGCGUCAUUUGUACCCUCAAGCUUUGCUUGGUGUUGGGCGUCUUGUCUCUAGCUUUGCUGGAGACUCGCCUUAAAGUAAUUGGCAGCCGGCCUACUGGUUUCGGAGCGCAGCACAAGUCGCACUCUCUAUCAGCAAAGGUCUAGCAUCCAUUAAGCCUUUUUUUCAACUUUGACCUCGGAUCAGGUAGUUACCCAGUUCCCC